GCUGGAGGUCAAAGAAGGGGUGCGUGGGAAUGUGUCGGGAACAUGUGGAGACAGAAGAAGGGGCACACAGGGAGCAGGCCCGUUUGGAUGAGGGUAGGAGUGGGUGAGGGGCUAGAGCUGGAGAACUGUGGUGCACCCGGGCAUGUUCGGACGUGGGAGGACAGAAGACUGGCUGCAUCCCAGCUUUCCGCCUCCUCUUUUCCGAGAAGUGACAGUGACUGCCUGCUGGCAGCCUCUCAAGAGAACCAGUGACAGGAGAAGAAGAAAGGCCACUUGUGGCUGGGUCUCUGUCCUGAGCAAUUCCUGAGCCCUGAGGGAAGGUGUUUGAUGACAUCUCAGUAAAGACUGAGUGUUCCAGAACCUUUCACUCUCCGCAUUGACCAGAUGUGGUUCUCUGAGUUCCUUCCCAACUUUUGCAAAAGGAAGCUUCCCAGAUGAUGGCUAAGCAAAGGCACUGAUCUGAGUCACAGCCCAGUGUGUCUGACUUCUACUUAGAAAAAAAAAAGUAAAGCAUAAACAAAUAAACCUACCCCAAACACCUCAGAACAAAACAGUUUGAUCUUGUGAACAUCCCCACAGUGUGUAUGUAAAGUUAGUGCAAAAAUUUAUGUUUUUCUCUUGUUAAACAAGAAAGCGAUUAGCUGUGCUCUUAUAUCUAGCAAAGAGCCCAUCUAGGCAUUAAGUGAGCCACAGGGCAUGACCAUCCCUACCCUGUUCCAAAUAGGAAGAACCCUCCUGGCUUCUCCAAAUGAUGACGACCUCCCAACAGCCGUUUGUCUUUGUCUGCCAUUCCAGGCUCAGCCUCUUGUUCUUGCAACUAGUUAGACCUUGUGCUGAGUCACCCAUAUGGCGAAGGCCUAACCACCAGGCUGGGCAUUCCUUCCUCUAGCUUCCUCCUCAACAGACCGUAGCCUCAAGAGGGUCCUGGUGCUGCCCAUGUCAGGGGUAG
This 949-nucleotide long non-coding RNA is filed under the name Cricetulus griseus (Chinese hamster). RNAcentral describes it as "lncRNA (ENSCGRG00015030137.1)". The record is from RNAcentral. Lineage: Eukaryota; Metazoa; Chordata; Mammalia; Rodentia; Cricetidae.